UCCUCCUCCUCCUCCUCCUUCUUCAUGUUCUUGUUCUUGUUCUUGUUCUCCUCCAUGAGCCCAGGCCCAGGACCCAACUGUGAUUGCCCUGAAAAUCUCUUACUACUAUCACCAAAAUUCAAUAUCUCCCUGGACUCCGGCUUACAAGAAAUUCCAGUUUUAUUCCUAUUACUACUUCCAUCAAAUCCAUAACCCGAAAAAUUCAACUCCUUUGUGAAAAAUCCUUGACAAUGCUGCUGCUGAUUUUCAGAAUUCUCAUUUCCAUACACAAGUUGAACAUCCCUACUACUACUAUGAAUUAACGAAUCCUUAGGUUCCACAACCGAGGAAGAUGGAUCCGUAAGCCAAAGGGCCGAAGGAUCGGGCUCAGGAUGCACAGCACAAGAGCCUGAGCCCGAACCUGAGCCUGUAACAGACCCCAUAUCAAUAUUGAAGUUAAACAAAUACUUAACCUUGUUCAUCAAAUCCGAGCUUUGGAAUAUCAGCUCAGUCGAACCAAGCUCCACUACACCGUUAGCUGAAGGAAUACACACAAUCGUCUGAAGCCCGAAACCUUGGGCUUGCCUGGCCCGUUCACAUUGAGAAGCAGCUAAUUUCUCUGUUCCAGUAACCCAAAUUGGGCUUGAACUGUACAUCGCCAAGCCCGGAAGCCCGUUACCGUUAACAAACGAUUGGGUCAUUGAAAUCAGAAAAAACCAUUCAGUAUCCGUCACUUCCUCAUCCACUGCAUCAUCAGUUCCGUUUCCGGCGGAAGCUUGUACACCGGAUAUUAAUGAAUUCAGCUCCCGAAGCACCUUCUUUCUAUGCUCUUGCUCAGCAACAAAAUUAGCUGCUGAACUAGACGACCCUCUCCGUUUAUUCUUAUCUUCUUCUCCUUUAUAAUACCCAUCUCCCCAACCCAAUACAGUUUGGCUCGCAAAAUCAACAACUGACGAUUGCCAGAAAAUAGCAUAUGCCCAUGAUUCACGAGCACCGUCAAUUAAAGCCUGAAGCCUUUGCUGUAGUGACUCUUGAUUGAAAAACGGCAUCGUUUCUCCGACUCCGUUCACCGGAGUCGGACGAUUGGGAGUGGAAGCAGGCCAAAAAGAGGAUGGAUCGGAAGAUAAAAAAGAAUCCAUCAUCAUAGUAUCAUCACAUGUAUUAGUAGUAUUGGUAUUACUCCAUAAUCUAUAGUCCGUCAUUCAAUUAAAUUGAAGAAUUUUACAAAAAACAGAAAAUGAGAGAUUUU
RNAcentral lists this unclassified non-coding RNA (1228 nucleotides) under Hevea brasiliensis (rubber tree). Lineage: Eukaryota; Viridiplantae; Streptophyta; Magnoliopsida; Malpighiales; Euphorbiaceae. The record is from RNAcentral.